Molecule: ribosomal RNA, 478 nt
Filed under: uncultured bacterium
Lineage: Bacteria
Description: partial 16S ribosomal RNA
Rfam family: Bacterial small subunit ribosomal RNA
Source: RNAcentral
GACGAACGCUGGCGGCGUGCUUAACACAUGCAAGUCGAACGGUAGGGCCCUUCGGGGUACACGAGUGGCGAACGGGUGAGUAACACGUGGGUGAUCUGCCCUGCACUUCGGGAUAAGCCUGGGAAACUGGGUCUAAUACCGGAUAGGACCACUGCCUGCAUGGGUGGUGGUGGAAAGCUUUUGCGGUGUGGGAGGGGCCCGCGGCCUAUCAGCUUGUUGGUGGGGUGAUGGCCUACCAAGGCGACGACGGGGAGCCGGCCUGAGAGGGUGACCGGCCGUACUGGGACUGAGAGACGGCCCAGACUCCUACGGGAGGCAGCAGUGGGGAAUAUUGCACAAUGGGCGCAAGCCUGAGGCAGCGACGCCGCGUGAGGGAUGACGGCCUUCGGGUUGUAAACCUCUUUCAGCACCGACGAAGCGCAAGUGACGGUAGGUGCAGAAGAAGGACCGGCCAACUACGUGCCAGCCGCCGCCGUAA